Molecule: ribosomal RNA, 308 nt
Filed under: uncultured eukaryote
Lineage: Eukaryota
Description: SSU rRNA
Rfam family: Eukaryotic small subunit ribosomal RNA
Source: RNAcentral
AAUUAUUUAUUUGAUGGUUUCUUACUACUUGGAUAACCGUAGUAAUUCUAGAGCUAAUACAUGCGUAAAGUCCCGACUCUCGCGGGGAGGGAUGUAUUUAUUAGAUUAAAAACCAAUGCGGCCUCUGGUCGGUUAUUUGGUGAAUCAUAGUAACUUUUCGAAUCGCAUGGCUUCACGCCGGCGAUAGUUCAUUCAAAUUUCUGCCCUAUCAGCUUUCGACGGUAGUGUAGUGGACUACCGUGGCUUUAACGGGUAACGGAGAAUUAGGGUUCGAUUCCGGAGAGGGAGCCUGAGAAACGGCUACCACA